UACAGCCUUUUGGGCAUGAUUCUGUGGAGCGUGAGGAGUUAAACGCCUUCAUGCCUGCAUAUUCGUGUACUUUGGGUGUACUUGCCCGUGUGGUUAGUUAACAUCAAUUUUGGUUAUCAUAAAAUGGCUGGAGGAAUGUAGCUUCGAUUUCGAUUGAAGUGUUAUAGCCUUCGGCAGAUGUGAUGAUCGGGAUUGAGGAUUGCAACGGAUACCCUUCGGGGCUACCUGUCUGAUCUCUGAUCGUUGCUCUGGUGCCGAAAGCGUGCUUACGGUUAUCAAAGUCGAUGGUUAAUAGGUUAGAACGGGUUAAAUUCGUUAAGGAUGUUGACGUA
This 332-nucleotide ribosomal RNA is filed under the name uncultured Glomeromycotina. Its description in RNAcentral is "eukaryotic LSU rRNA". Lineage: Eukaryota; Fungi; Glomeromycota. The record is from RNAcentral.